This 845-nucleotide precursor RNA is filed under the name Dimocarpus longan. RNAcentral describes it as "precursor microRNA 390". The stretch from base 89 to 231 matches the Rfam family "MIR390 microRNA precursor family". The record is from RNAcentral. Lineage: Eukaryota; Viridiplantae; Streptophyta; Magnoliopsida; Sapindales; Sapindaceae.
ACCCACCUUCACCAUGUGAGCUCUCUCUCUCUCUCUCUCUCUCUCUCUCUCUCUCUCUCUCUGUGUAUAGAGACAUACAUGAUGAGUAUGGGAGAAUCUGUAAAGCUCAGGAGGGAUAGCGCCACGAACAAUCAAUCACAUAAACUUUUACAUAAAGUUGUUGUUUUUGAUGAUGAUGAUGAUGAGCUGUUGUACUGGCGCUAUCUAUCCUGAGUUUCAUGGCUUCUUCUUGCUAUAUAUGUGGUGCAAUUUCAGUCUCUCUCAAAGGGCAACAACGACUUGUCUCUUCUAGGGUAUGUGUUUGUUUUUUAGCUUUAUACGUGUUACUUGAUUUAUGCUAAUCUAUUUUAUUUCCAUGCUUCUUUAUGUUGCUCUAAUUAAUAUCAGGCUCUUUGACCUCUUUGUAAAGACAAUACCAAGGAUUUCUUAGCUUGUAAACACUUGUUCACAGAUUAAUUAAUUAACAAUCUGCGAUCUAUCUCCUACGUACUUCUUCACGUUAUCCUCACUUUUAACUCUCUUUUGUCAAUUACUACUUCCCAGUCCUUGUAUAUAUCCUUUCUAAUUCCCAACGCUAGUCUGGUAUUGAAUAUUUUGUGUCUCGGAUGAACGGUUUUAUAGAUUUUGCAUCGCAAACCGAUUUUACACUUCCGUCAGUCCAUCUGGUUUCUCUAUUGUAUUUACCCUCCUUAUUACUUCGUCUUUCUUGUUGGGACCUGAGUUUGUAAAAUGAUCACUCACAUGUGUCUGUCCACAAAUCAUGUCAACAAAUUAAAUCAUCGGCUUUUUCUUCAUACAUAUAUAUAGAUAUAUUUCUCCUACUAGAUCAUAUAUCUUUGAUGGGU